This 610-nucleotide unclassified non-coding RNA is filed under the name Anthoxanthum juncifolium. RNAcentral describes it as "Hierochloe juncifolia partial external transcribed spacer". Lineage: Eukaryota; Viridiplantae; Streptophyta; Magnoliopsida; Poales; Poaceae. The record is from RNAcentral.
CUUGAUAUCCACUGUGGAAUUCGCCCUUUGGCUACGCGAGCGCAUGAGCUAUUUCGGACCCGUGUCUGCUGGUAGGCCCCCCGUCUUCGUGUGGCCGACUACCAGCACCAUGUCUUGUCAUUCGUGUGACCUACGGGUAGUGGUGCUUGAUACAAAGUUGUCUCGUGGUGGACACCUUUGUGUGUGCUGCUGUAGCCAUAUGGCACUUGCGGCGUUGCCUUGUGGUGGUGGCAUGUUUUUGUGCCUGGUGCUAUCAAGGAAGCCUCGCUCCCGCCGUUGGUUUCAGAUGUUGCUCAUGAUAAAGGCUCGUGGCCCUUUUGGUUGCCUCGACCUGACCUUAAAAAUUCUCUCCGAAAUUGAGAACAACCGGAACAUGUGUUGCCUCUACCUUUGCAUGGUUAGUGGUAGGACACACAGCAUACUAUGCCGAUCCUCAUACAAGUAGGACGAUCUAGGUCCGCUCAAUUGUGACAACCGGACCGGCUGUUGCCUCUGCCAUGCCACCCAAGUGGAAGGGUAGACAACUACCGACGCUGGAGGUCAAAGAAGACGUGCUACCUGGUUGAGCCUGCCAGUAGUCAUAUGCUUGUCUAAGGGCGAAUUCCACAUU